This 110-nucleotide unclassified non-coding RNA is filed under the name Pseudodiaptomus poplesia. Its description in RNAcentral is "trans-spliced leader sequence". Lineage: Eukaryota; Metazoa; Arthropoda; Copepoda; Calanoida; Pseudodiaptomidae. The record is from RNAcentral.
GUCUAAUACGACCAAGCUUAAUUUGCUUGAUUCACUUCAUUAAGAGGUGUGUAUAUCAGUAAUUCCCCAAGGAAAAGGGGUUUUUCUGCUGGACUGAUGAGAGUCCUUUU